GUGCUCGCUUUGGCAGCACAUAUUACUAAAAUUGGAAUGAUACAGAGAAGAUUAGCAUGGCCCCUGCUCAAGGAUGACAUGCAAAUUCAUGAAGCAUAUGUACUAUGU
Small nuclear RNA from Dipodomys ordii (Ord's kangaroo rat), 108 nucleotides. The record is from Ensembl. Lineage: Eukaryota; Metazoa; Chordata; Mammalia; Rodentia; Heteromyidae.